Molecule: long non-coding RNA, 1452 nt
Filed under: Numida meleagris (helmeted guineafowl)
Lineage: Eukaryota; Metazoa; Chordata; Aves; Galliformes; Numididae
Description: lncRNA (ENSNMEG00000000767.1)
Source: RNAcentral
CACAGAAAAAGACACAAAUAGCACAAGAAAGCAUUUUUCUCACACUCUGUCUAGAAUAUUUCAUUUGUGUUAGGAAUGGUAAGGGAAAUAGGAAAUCUCAGAUAUUACUGGAGAAUUAAAACAGCAUAGGAUACUAUAUGAUACAGUUGCAUGGUUUCUGGCAGGCUUUGUCUGUAAGAAAAUGAAACAUAGUAUAUUGUUUCUGUCCUCAUCAGAAAAUACAAGAAUGGACUUUUCUGUUAUCAAGUACUCCUGUAAGAUAGGCUGAGACUAAUAGAAAUAGGAUACAAAAGAUCAUACCACCACUAAACUCUUAUUCAGGAUUGUGGUUGCAAAGUACCUUUCCAAAACAAGAAUAAACAUAAGUGAGCAUCAGAGAUGAAAGACUGCACCUACAUUUCAGCUCCCUAAGCAACUUUCCUGCAUAAAUACUUUGAAGGCCUGUCCAUGGUUGUCUCUGAAACAGUUAACAGGAAAAGAAUUUAGUAUAACGGGUUUUAGAUUUGCAUUAAGUUGCAGAUCUGAAGAUGCAUGUGAGAGAGUGCCAAACCGUUGGGUUACCUAAUUACAGAUACCAUUUCAUCGAUCUUUCCAGGCAUAUAUUUACACUAGCCUUGCUUUAUCUCGCUUAAUGAAAACCCUUGCUUUACCUGCCUGUCACCCAAGAAAGUGGUCAAGAACAUACUUAACUCCUCUCACACUUAUACAAGCAACCCUUUCAGCUGCUCUACUCUGGGAGUGUAAGCAAGCCAUCAGAGAACAAACAGCUAGACAAGUGCUUGGCCAGCAAGAGAGAAAUCCCUGAGAGAAGCAUACAGCCCCCCAUCGCUCAGAGCCGCAUCCUAGGGAUACCAGCAAACAUCUUGCAAUUGGUUUUGCUGCGACAAGAGUGUACUCUGUCAGCUUAACCCGGAGCUGAGCUACAAGAUAGAGUGAAUGUAGCUUGAAUGUAUCAGUUGAAAACUGGGUAUGUAUCUGUAAAUAUAUACAGCCGGCACUCACAGACGUGUACAUCAAGCACCAGGAAAAGGGAGAAUAUGAAGGUAUAAGAAUGUGCCAUAUUUCUAUGUUAUGAUAGAGUUAUUUUACGCCUUUUUGCAUCUGCCAUGCCUCUCCGUUACGAGGUUCUUUUCCUUGAAUCUCUUUUAGCAAUUGUGCCAUUCUACUGACCAAUUUCUAACACUGCAUACUGGCUUUUGAGGAUUUUCUAACAUCCAAUCCACAUCUACAUUUAUUUCAUUCUUAAGCUCAGACCUCUGAUUUCAUACCUGUAUAGUAUACUUAUCAUUCUCACUCAGACAGCUUAGUUAUCUGAGUGAACAUUAGGUCAGUGAGACAGAUGUUUCUCCAGUGCUGUUAACCAUUAAUUUUUUAUUUAUUUAGGAGCCUUUAUCAUUUGGUGUCUACCUUUCUUUCUUUCUUUUCAACAAAUAAAGCAGUAUUUGACUCCCA